GCCGGAGUAGCUCAGCUGGCCAGAGCAACCGCCUUGUAAGCGGUAGGUCACGGGUUCGAAUCCCGUCUCCGGCU
RNAcentral lists this transfer RNA (74 nucleotides) under Solirubrobacter ginsenosidimutans. Its description in RNAcentral is "Solirubrobacter sp. BXN5-15 tRNA". It matches the Rfam family "tRNA". From Rfam's summary of the family: Transfer RNA (tRNA) molecules are approximately 80 nucleotides in length. Their secondary structure includes four short double-helical elements and three loops (D, anti-codon, and T loops). RNAcentral also lists the same sequence under 7 other names. The record is from Rfam by way of RNAcentral. Lineage: Bacteria; Bacillati; Actinomycetota; Thermoleophilia; Solirubrobacterales; Solirubrobacteraceae.